UACCCUGAGUAAAGUGGCGCACGGGUGAGUAACACGUGACUAACCUACCUUUUAGUGGGGGAUAACCUAGGGAAACCUGGGCUAAUACCGCAUAAUACCUACGGGUCAAAGCAGCAAUGCGCUGAUUGAGGGGGUCGCGGCCGAUUAGCUAGUUGGCGGGGUAAUGGCCCACCAAGGCAGUGAUCGGUAUCCGGCCUGAGAGGGCGCACGGACACACUGGAACUGAAACACGGUCCAG
RNAcentral lists this ribosomal RNA (238 nucleotides) under uncultured bacterium. RNAcentral's name for it is "partial 16S ribosomal RNA". It matches the Rfam family "Bacterial small subunit ribosomal RNA", at positions 82 to 334 of the family's 1533-position model. The record is from RNAcentral.